RNAcentral lists this transfer RNA (73 nucleotides) under Mus musculus (house mouse). Its description in RNAcentral is "tRNA-Ser". The record is from RNAcentral. Lineage: Eukaryota; Metazoa; Chordata; Mammalia; Rodentia; Muridae.
GGAGAGGUGGCUGGGAGGCUAAGCGCUGGCACUGCUCUUCCAGAGGACCUGGGUUCAAUUCCCAGCACCCACA